Molecule: ribosomal RNA, 484 nt
Filed under: uncultured bacterium
Lineage: Bacteria
Description: partial 16S ribosomal RNA
Rfam family: Bacterial small subunit ribosomal RNA
Source: RNAcentral
AUUGAACGCUGGCGGCAGGCCUAACACAUGCAAGUCGAGCGGAUGAAGGGAGCUUGCUCCUGGAUUCAGCGGCGGACGGGUGAGUAAUGCCUAGGAAUCUGCCUGGUAGUGGGGGAUAACGUCCGGAAACGGGCGCUAAUACCGCAUACGUCCUGAGGGAGAAAGUGGGGGAUCUUCGGACCUCACGCUAUCAGAUGAGCCUAGGUCGGAUUAGCUAGUUGGUGGGGUAAAGGCCUACCAAGGCGACGAUCCGUAACUGGUCUGAGAGGAUGAUCAGUCACACUGGAACUGAGACACGGUCCAGACUCCUACGGGAGGCAGCAGUGGGGAAUAUUGGACGAUGGGCGAAAGCCUGAUCCAGCCAUGCCGCGUGUGUGGAGAAGGUCUUCGGAUUGUAAAGCACUUUAAGUUGGGAGGAAGGGCAGUAAGUUAAUACCUUGCUGUUUUGACGUUACCAACAGAAUAAGCACCGGCUAACUUCGUG